CCUACGGGGUGCAGCAGUGGGGAAUAUUGCACAAUGGGGGGAACCCUGAUGCAGCGACGCCGCGUGAGUGAAGAAGUAUUUCGGUAUGUAAAGCUCUGUCAGCAGGGAAGAAGAAAGACGGUACCUGACCAAGAAGCCCCGGCUAACUACGUGCCAGCAGCAGCGGUAAUACGUAGGGGGCAAGCGUUAUCCGGCUUUACUGGGUGUAAAGGGGGCGUAGACGGCAGGGCAAGUCUGUUGUGAAAGGCAGGGGCCCAACCCCUGGACUGCUCUGGAAAAUGUCCGGCUGGAGUGCAGGAGAGGUAAGUGGAAGUCCUAGGGUAGCGGUGAAAUGCGGAGAUAUUAGGAGGAACACCAGUGGCGAAGGCAGCAUACCGGCGCUCAACUGACGCUCAUGCACGAAAGUGUGGGUAUCGAACAGGAUUAGAUACCCGAGUAGUA
Molecule: ribosomal RNA, 441 nt
Filed under: uncultured bacterium
Lineage: Bacteria
Description: partial 16S ribosomal RNA
Rfam family: Bacterial small subunit ribosomal RNA
Source: RNAcentral